This 299-nucleotide unclassified non-coding RNA is filed under the name plant metagenome. RNAcentral's name for it is "partial contains 5.8S ribosomal RNA, internal transcribed spacer 2, and large subunit ribosomal RNA". The stretch from base 1 to 105 matches the Rfam family "5.8S ribosomal RNA", at positions 50 to 154 of the family's 154-position model. The record is from RNAcentral.
GAAAUGCGAUAAGUAAUGUGAAUUGCAGAAUUCAGUGAAUCAUCGAAUCUUUGAACGCACAUUGCGCCCCCUGGUAUUCCGGGGGGCAUGCCUGUUCGGGCGUCAUUUCACCACUCAAGCCUCGCUUGGUAUUGGGCGACGCGGUCCGCCGCGCGCCUCAAAUCGACCGGCUGGGUCUUUCGUCCCCUCAGCGUUGUGGAAACUAUUCGCUAAAGGGUGCCGCGGGAGGCCACGCCGUAAAACAACCCCAUUUCUAAGGUUGACCUCGGAUCAGGUAGGGAUACCCGCUGAACUUAAGC